GCCAACGGAUUUGUCCGAGGUGGCGGUACCCCCAGGUAGUCUUCUUGGCCCCGCUGUAAAGCCAACCCUGUGUCGCCCUUAAAAAGCGUCUUUUCUGAGGUUCGGCUCACACUGAGAUCGGGGCUGGAGAGAGAGUCAGAUUUUGGAGCGGAGCGUUUGGAAAGCGAGCCCCAGUUUGGUCCCCUCAUUGAGCUCGCUGAAGUUGGCUUCCUAGCGGUGUAGGCUGGAAUAGACUCUUGGCAAGCUCCGGGUUGGUAUACUGGGUUAACUUUGGGAAAUGCAAGUGUUUAUCUCCAGGAUCUAGCCACCGGGGUGGUGUAAGCCGCAAAGAAUUCCACCAGGUGAGAAGAGUGAUGACCAUCCUUUUCCUUACUAUGGUUAUUUCAUACUUUGGUUGCAUGAAGGCUGCCCCCAUGAAAGAAGCAAACAUCCGAGGACAAGG
Molecule: long non-coding RNA, 442 nt
Filed under: Homo sapiens (human)
Lineage: Eukaryota; Metazoa; Chordata; Mammalia; Primates; Hominidae
Description: non-protein coding lnc-LIN7C-1:1
Source: RNAcentral